This 591-nucleotide ribosomal RNA is filed under the name uncultured marine eukaryote. RNAcentral's name for it is "SSU rRNA". It matches the Rfam family "Eukaryotic small subunit ribosomal RNA", at positions 1 to 598 of the family's 1831-position model. The record is from RNAcentral.
AACCUGGUUGAUCCUGCCAGUAGUCAUAUGCUUGUCCCAAAGACUAAGCCAUGCAUGUCUAAGUAUAAGUAUUAUACAGCGAAACUGCGAAUGGCUCAUUAAAACAGUUAUAGUUUAUUUGAUAAUCGAAUUUACAUGGAUAACCGUGGUAAUUCUAGAGCUAAUACAUGCUGGUAUGCUCGACUUUUGUGGAAGGGCGGUAUUUAUUAGAUAACAAAUCAAUAUUCCUCUGGUCUAUUGUGGUGACUCAUAGUAACUGAUCGAAUCGCAAGGCCUAUGGCCGCGAUAAGUCAUUCAAGUUUCUGCCCCAUCAGCUUUCGAUGGUAGUGUAUUGGACUACCAUGGCGUUUACGGGUAACGGAGGAUUAGGGUUCGAUUCCGGAGAGGGAGCCUGAGAAACGGCUACCACAUCUAAGGAUGGCAGCAGGCGCGUAAAUUACCCAAUCCUGAUUCAGGGAGGUAGUGACAAGAAAUAACGGACUGGGUCUUCGGACUUCGGGAUUGCAAUGAGCCGAAUUUACACCCCUUAGCGAGAAUCGAUUGGAGGGCAAGUCUGGUGCCAGCAGCCGCGGUAAUUCCAGCUCCAAUAGC